UGUGCAGGUGUGAACAGGUGUGUGCAGGUGAGUCCUGACAGGUGUGUACAGGUGUGUGCAGGUGAGUCCUGACAGGUGUGUGCAGGUGUGUGCAGGUGAGUCCUGCAGGUGUGCUCAGGUGUGCUCAGGGGAGCCCCAC
RNAcentral lists this long non-coding RNA (139 nucleotides) under Parus major (Great Tit). Its description in RNAcentral is "lncRNA (ENSPMJG00000003576.1)". Lineage: Eukaryota; Metazoa; Chordata; Aves; Passeriformes; Paridae. The record is from RNAcentral.